RNAcentral lists this ribosomal RNA (241 nucleotides) under Clostridium botulinum. Its description in RNAcentral is "partial 23S ribosomal RNA". It matches the Rfam family "Bacterial large subunit ribosomal RNA", at positions 1 to 241 of the family's 2925-position model. The record is from RNAcentral. Lineage: Bacteria; Bacillati; Bacillota; Clostridia; Eubacteriales; Clostridiaceae.
AGGUCAAGCUACAAAGGGCGCAUGGUGAAUGCCUUGGCACUAGGAGCCGAAGAAGGACGCGAUAAGCUGCGAUAAGCCUUGGGUAGCCGCAAAUAGGCUGAGAUCCAGGGAUUUCCGAAUGAGGAAACUCACAUGGGUAACCCCAUGUAUCAUGCACUGAAUACAUAGGUGUAUGAGGGUAAACCCGGGGAACUGAAACAUCUAAGUACCCGGAGGAAGAGAAAGAAAAAUCGAUUUCCUA